CACGUAGGGGGCGAGCGUUGUCCGGAUUUAUUGGGCGUAAAGAGCUCGUAGGCGGCCACCGCAAGUCGACUGUGAAAUCUCCGGGCUUAACCCGGAAAGGUCAGCCGAUACUGCGGGGCUAGAGUGCAGAAGGGGCAACUGGAAUUCUCGGUGUAGCGGUGAAAUGCGUAGAUAUCGAGAGGAACACCUGCGGCGAAGGCGGGUUGCUGGGCUGACACUGACGCUGAGGCGCGAAAGCUAGGGGAGCGAACGGG
Molecule: ribosomal RNA, 254 nt
Filed under: uncultured bacterium
Lineage: Bacteria
Description: partial 16S ribosomal RNA
Rfam family: Bacterial small subunit ribosomal RNA
Source: RNAcentral